Molecule: non-coding RNA, 390 nt
Organism: Arcobacter sp.
Lineage: Bacteria; Pseudomonadati; Campylobacterota; Epsilonproteobacteria; Campylobacterales; Arcobacteraceae
Rfam family: transfer-messenger RNA
About the family: Bacterial tmRNA, also known as 10Sa RNA or SsrA, is named for its dual tRNA and mRNA-like properties. Its role is to liberate the mRNA from a stalled ribosome. To accomplish this part of the tmRNA is used as a reading frame that ends in a translation stop signal.
Source: Rfam
GGGGAUGAUUUGGCUUCGAUUAGAGCAUUGAAGUCUAGUUGCAUGUCGGCCUGAACACGCCGUUAUACGGUUCAUUUUUUUUAAACGCAAAUAAUACUAAUUAUUCUCCAGCUUACGCAGCAGCGUAAGUUUUAAUUUAGACUCCCCUUAAGUGGGUCGAGACUAGGAGGCUCAUUCUACUGAUGCUAUAUAGGUAGAUUUAAAUGGGCUCACCCUAAUAGCUUAUCUUUAAAGAGUUGAUUUAACUUUAAAGAGACAUUCCUAAUCUUAUCUUUCAUAAGCCUUGCAGGUUGAGCUUAUGAUAAGUGAAAUUGAUCGACCUCUUCUAAACAUGUAGACGCUAUGCGGAUAUGUUUUAAGACUCCGGUUCAAUCCCGGACAUCUCCACCA